Molecule: ribosomal RNA, 253 nt
Filed under: uncultured bacterium
Lineage: Bacteria
Description: partial 16S ribosomal RNA
Rfam family: Bacterial small subunit ribosomal RNA
Source: RNAcentral
GACAGAGGUGCCAAGCGUUAGGCGGAAUCACUGGGCUUAAAGCGUGUGUAGGCGGAUCGUUAAGUGCCUUGUGAAAUCCCACGGCUUAACCGUGGAACUGCUCGGCAUACUGGCGGUCUUGAGCAACCUAGGGGCGAGCGGAACAAGCGGUGGAGCGGUGAAAUGCGUAGAUAUCGCUUGGAACGCCGAAGGUGAAAACAGGCUGCUGGGGUUGCGCCGACGCUGAGACACGAAAGCCAGGGGAGCAAACGGG